Molecule: ribosomal RNA, 477 nt
Filed under: uncultured bacterium
Lineage: Bacteria
Description: bacterial SSU rRNA
Rfam family: Bacterial small subunit ribosomal RNA
Source: RNAcentral
CACAUGCAAGUCGAGGGGCGAGCAUGAGAUUAGCUUGCUAAUCUUGAUGGCGACCGGCGCACGGGUGAGUAACGCGUAUCCAACCUUCCCCCUACUCAGGCAUAGCCCGGUGAAAACCGGAUUAACUCCUGAUAGUUUCACUAGAUGGCAUCUGACGGUGAAUAAAGCUUUGCGGUAAGGGAUGGGGAUGCGUCUGAUUAGCUUGUUGGCGGGUAACGGCCCACCAAGGCGACGAUCAGUAGGGGUUCUGAGAGGAAGGUCCCCCACAUUGGAACUGAGACACGGUCCAAACUCCUACGGGAGGCAGCAGUGAGGAAUAUUGGUCAAUGGGCGCGAGCCUGAACCAGCCAAGUAGCGUGCCAGGAAGACGGCCCUAUGGGUUGUAAACUGCCUUUGUAUGGGAAUAAAGUCAGGGACGUGUCCCUGUUUGCAUGUACCACAAGAAUAAGGACCGGCUAAUUCCGUGCCAGCAGCUGC